This 442-nucleotide long non-coding RNA is filed under the name Mytilus galloprovincialis (Mediterranean mussel). Lineage: Eukaryota; Metazoa; Mollusca; Bivalvia; Mytilida; Mytilidae. The record is from RNAcentral.
UCAAAAUUUCAUUUUUGAGUUUUUGAGUAUUUUGUAAAAAAGGGGGAGGUUUUUUUUUACAUGUCGCGCCGUAUCUCAAAAACGAUUUAUGAUUAUUGCUUAAAACUUUACACACAUCUUUGUUAUAUUAAUCUUAAGAUCUGUAUACUUUUUGGUGAUGAUUCAAAAUUUCAUUUUUGAGUUAUUGAGUAUUUUGUAAAAAAGGGGGAGGGGUUUUUUACAUGUCGUGCCGUAUAUCAAAAAUGAUUUAUGAUUAUUGCUUAAAAUUUUACACACUUCUUUGUUAUAUUAAUCUAAAGAUCUGUAUACUUUUUGGUGAUGACUCAAAAUUUUAUUUUUGAGUUAUUGAGUAUUUUGUAAAAAAGGGGAGGGUUUUUUUUACAUGUCGCGCCGUAUCUCAAAAACAAUUUAUGAUUAUUGCUUGAAACUGUACACACUUCUU